This 224-nucleotide long non-coding RNA is filed under the name Theobroma cacao (cacao). RNAcentral describes it as "long non-coding RNA (TCAC_LNC005629)". The record is from RNAcentral. Lineage: Eukaryota; Viridiplantae; Streptophyta; Magnoliopsida; Malvales; Malvaceae.
GUUUACUCACUGGGAUUAUAAAAUCUCACCCCUUCUUCCUAUACAUUUUUCAGGCUCAGGACAGUUUGUAGAUAGUCGAGUAGGACGAGAACUAAGCUCGAAAUUACAUUAUAGAAAGUAAGAGUUCACAGUCUUACAUCCUCUUGGUCAAUUGGAGCCCACGUGUCAUUGCAGAUCAAAACUUAUAUUUUGGUUAUCUAUAUUUCUAUUUAUACAAUGUUUAC